AGGUACCAGGGAGGGAGCUGUCAGUUACUGGUCCACUAGCAGAACACUGUCCUGUGGGAAUCAAAGAAGUGAACAGAAAUGUCAUCACAGGGGAAUUGCAGGCCCAUAUGUCAACUACAGGAAGAGAAGAAAACUUCUAGGAAGAAGCAACUCUUGAAAAGUCAGGCAGUCCCUCACCAUUUCCCAGAACAGGGAGAACAGGAAGUGCCCGCUGCUCCAGGUGUUUCUGGACUUCAGGAAUGCGGUAUAUUGGAGGCCAAGGAUGUUAAGGGGUGAUAACAUUCUCUAAGUAGCAAAGAGUUUUAAU
Lontra canadensis (Northern American river otter) is the source of this 307-nucleotide long non-coding RNA. RefSeq lists it as uncharacterized. The transcript has 3 exons. NCBI's taxonomy places the organism in Eukaryota, Metazoa, Chordata, Mammalia, Carnivora, Mustelidae. The record is from RefSeq and is a predicted model, not a curated record.